CCAAAUAUCAGAGCUUGGCUUAAAUUGGUGACUGCUUCUUGGCUUAUUUGGAUUUGAAUCUUGAAUACUUGCAUGAAUAAGCUAGGACUCUGAGUGUGCAACAUUCUUACGAACAAAACUAAUCUGAUACUGCAGCUAAAUGCUCAUACACCAAUCCAAAUUUCCAAAAAAAAAAGAAAAAAGAAAUGAACCUGUGGACCUGACCGAAACCGGCCCAUUUUAAAUGGGUCGGGUUAGGUCCGAUUCCUGUAUUAAAAUUUGUUGUACCCGUCCUGGCUCGGCCAGUUUCUUUUAAAUACGGAUCCGGUCCGGUCCUUUCAAAAUUAGACCCAGCCCGGCCCGUGCCCAGCCCUACUCAUUAUUGCUUAAACCACACUCAGCUGCAAAUUUCUCAAUGACAUUAACUUGGAAGGGGGGAGUUGAAGUGUGGCUACUACCUUUGCUUUGCUUCGAGUUGUGAUGCCAACGGAUUCUCCAUUUGCAAUUGAGGUGCUCAUGACACUUUUUUACCUUGGUGGCGAUGACAACUUGAUUCUUCUUGGAAGACAUUGAUUUUGAAGUGUGUUUAGAUUUCUUGAACUAAGAAAGAGAUGAGAGGAGAGAUUGUCCCACCAGGCAUGCCAAAUUUAUAAACACGAAAAUCCUGUAGCAAAUGAAUCAACACGUGUACAAAAUAAUUUAUAUUAUAUCAAUGAGUUUAUACAAUCUUUUUACAACUUGAAUCCUCUGAUUCGAUCUCCGAAAUGUGUAGAUGUGUGUUAUUAAUCUAAAGGUCGUGAUGACUUGAUCUCGGAUGAACGGUUGCCACAAAGAUUUUGGCUUGUGGCAAUAGAAGAACCGCCAUGGGUAAUAGUGCUUGAUGAUUCUUCACAGGUUUGAUGAAGAACGCUAAGAGUUUUUCGAGUCUUCUUCAGUGUUUGAGUGCUUGGGGAAUUUGGAUGCUUGAGAGCCUCAGAGUUUCAGAGCUUCAACUUCUGGAAGCAACAGGGAACACCAAGACGAUGGUUUUAUUCCUGGGCUGCAGUAAAUAGAUCGAGAGGUUGUUCCGCCCCUUGUCCUACGUGAAUGAUUUUCUGGACCCAUUUUUUGUCUUGGAGCCUCGUAUUUAUAGACUUUUCAAGCCUUGUCUACAUAUGAAUUUAGCCUUGAUUAAUUGACGAAAGAACCAGGACUUGAUUUAUGGGCCGGUUUGUGAUUUGACUCUGUUUGUACCAUACUUGACCAAUCCUGAAACUACUGAGCACCGGUCAAUGUUAUACCGUCAAGGACCUAGAAGAGUUUCCCUACAACCAGGAGGCCAAUCACAGCGCGACACGUGUCAACAUCAGAAGCCAAUCACAAUACGACACGUGUCAAUGUUAGAAUGAAACUAGAAACUCUAUUUUAUAAAUAGAGAUCAUUCUCUCACAAUAUUUCCUAAUGUCAUUUGUACUAAAUCAUUCACUAGUACUCACUAAAUAAGAGCUUGAACCUAUGUACUUGUGUAAACCCUUCACAAUUAAUGAGAACUCAUCUACUCCGUGGACGUAGCCAAUCUGGGUGAACCACGUACAUCUUGUGUUUGCUUCCCUAUAUCUAUCCAUUUACAUACUUAUCCACACUAGUGACCGGAGCAAUCUAGCGAAGGUCACAAACUUAACACUUUCAGUUGUACCAAAGUCC
Molecule: long non-coding RNA, 1662 nt
Filed under: Malus domestica (apple)
Lineage: Eukaryota; Viridiplantae; Streptophyta; Magnoliopsida; Rosales; Rosaceae
Description: long non-coding RNA (MDOM_LNC011705)
Source: RNAcentral